Molecule: small RNA, 132 nt
Filed under: Citrobacter freundii
Lineage: Bacteria; Pseudomonadati; Pseudomonadota; Gammaproteobacteria; Enterobacterales; Enterobacteriaceae
Also listed under: 1 other name
Description: RtT sRNA
Rfam family: RtT RNA
About the family: This family represents a bacterial cis-regulatory element known as RtT RNA. The exact function of RtT is unknown although it is thought that it may be involved in changing the cellular response in relation to amino acid starvation.
Source: RNAcentral
UAUUCUGCCCAUCCGGGAAGGAUGAGAAACUUCGACUAAGGUUCGAUUCGAGCGUCAGCGAGAAAGCGUUGCCGCAGGCAACGACCCGAAGGGCGAAGCGCGCAGCGCUGAGUCAUCCUUCCCCCACCACCA